GUGGUUCACAUCAGUCCAGCAUCUUCUGCCCCUAUACCGAUGGGUCCCAAAGGUUUUCUUCUGGGCCCCCCAGUGGGUCCCAAAGGUUGUCUUCUGGGCCCCCCAGUGGCUGCCAAAGGUUUUCUUCUGGGCCCCCCAGUGGCUGCCAAAGGUUUUCUUCUGGGCCCCCCUAUGGAUUACAAUAAAAUCCCCCCCAAAAAGAUAAAGAA
Long non-coding RNA from Xiphophorus couchianus (Monterrey platyfish), 209 nucleotides. RefSeq lists it as uncharacterized. The transcript is spliced from 2 exons. NCBI's taxonomy places the organism in Eukaryota, Metazoa, Chordata, Actinopteri, Cyprinodontiformes, Poeciliidae. The record is from RefSeq and is a predicted model, not a curated record.